GUCAAUAUCCCCGAGGCAACCACCGUUUUGGAUGAAGUCGGUUUUUCCGUUCUCGCGAGAUCUGCCGUAGCAGUUAACGACACGUUCCUCCUUUAUACAGUUUCCCUCUCUCCUCUGAGAGGUCUGAAAGCUUCUCUCAGCUCACCUGAAGAAUCUCCUGGAACCCAGCCCUCGUACCUUUUCAGUUUCCCUCCGGGUCCUCGCUGUCUGUGACCUGUAGCAGCCUGUUCUGCUUUGUGCCUUGCACGUCCUCUGCGCGGGGGGGGAGCACGUCUGAGGACGGAUCCCCUGGCAGACAGCUUUCCGCAUUCCUGUCGCCUCUCACGUCGUGCCUGCUGCACAUUUUCUGCAUUCUGUGUCCGCACAAGACCGCGGACUAGGCUCACAGAGACAGACCUUUGUGCGCAGAGUGUUUGAGUGUUGUGGGUCUGCAGGGAGAAAACGGUCCAGUUGGCUUGUUUUUGAAAACACCUUUUCCUGAAGGGCACAGGGUAAUGUGAGAUGCUGCACUUGUCCGGUGUUUCCUGUUCGCACCUGUUCAGCACUGUCUGUGAAUUCAACAUAGAAGGCCAUGUGAAUCUCACUGAUUCAUGACCCAUGAGGAUCUGGCAUAUUUCAUAUCUCCCCGGACUCUUCAGCUCACUUAAUAAAAAACAAGCAAAGCCAAGUACUCUAGCAGAGUCCUGUGGCCUAAUGUCCUAAGCUUAGGUCUACAACUCAGAAGCUCAUGGAUUUCUAGUCCCUGCCAGACCACUGCUUUUGGUAAAUAGAGGUGAAAGCCUUGCUGGAUAAAGAAUUCUUGGCUGCAUAUUUUCCUGAUUCAGCAUGUUGAAUCUAUCCCUUUCUAGCCUGCCAAAUUUCUGUGGACAGAUCUGCUGAGAACCUUAGAGAGAAGAGUUGAAAUUGCUGGAAUAUCUUUGGAUCACCCCUAUGUUUGAACCUACAAACAUUAGUGCCAAGCCUUCAAGGGGUGUUCUGAGGGCCUACACAUAAACCCUCACCUCCCUGAGAAGCCCAGGUUGAGUUUAUCUGUGUUACACAAAGGACGACUGAAUUCCUGAGAACAUUUUUCAUUACAUGAAGAAACCACUUCCUGUCACACAACCAGGAGAACUUUGUGCAAAAGGUAGAGAGGCUUGAGCAUGUUAAGGGACCAGAGGGAUACGACAGUGCAGAAGGAGAAAAUCCCAUGGUGAAGCCUGCAGGUCUGUGUUUGGUGUGACCAGGAUAUGUGAGUGGAACCUCACUGAAGAUCUAUUACCAGUUGACAGAAGACAAAAAAAUUCAAAGCUGGCUUAUAGGGCUCACACUAAGAGUGUUGCAAGCAUGGCAUCUACUUAGAGGAGGAAUUUAGGAUUGCUGCAUUGGGAAAAAAGAAAAAAAAACAGGGAAAAGAAAGGAAAUGUUUCCCUGCGGUUGUUUUCUCUUCUCACACUGUAGCCACAUUUCCAGUACUAAAAGGAGAUAUACAUUUGGAACCCAAGAUCAGAGCACGAGUUUCAACAGACGUUAUGGCAAGUGUUGCGACAAUAGUACAGACAUUGAAAUCUGUAUUGACCCAGAAAUUGACUGACCUCCUUCUCAACCUCAGCAGGACCAGAGAGAAACCCUCGAACAUCCUCUUUUCUCCUCUAUGCAACGAUGGCCUCUCUCCUCCAAGUACCAUCACCCUCACGAGUCCUCAAACCUGGCCACACGUUUAGUCACCCAGGGAGCUUUUAACGAAUACAAUUCCCUGGGCUCCAUCCCAGACCUCUGGGACUAGGGCCCAGGCUGGAUAUUUUAAAAGGCUCCAUAAUUAAUUCUAAUGUGUACCUAAAUUUUAAUACCACAGUCCUAGACCAAGCCAGAUGCCAGUAAAUAAGCCUAGAUUCCUCCUUCUUCCCAUCAGGAAGAAUCUAAUUGGUCAACUAAAACACAAAUCUGCCUUCUAAAUUGUUCUCCUCCAACUUCUCUAUGAUUGACUUAGAAUUUUCCUUGCUGUGACCUUGUAGUAGUUUUUCUUUCCUCUCAUAUUCUCUUUUCCCAUUAUGGUGCAUUGUUCUUGCUGCGAUGGGGUGAUCUUUGUAGUUUUGCCAGCCAUCACUUUUCUUAAAAUUCUUCGGUGACUCAUCAGAACUUUAGGACACAGUGAUGUGGACUCUUUAUUUUCUGAUCACUACCUGCUAUCUAGCUUCAUGUUUUGUCACCCUCCUCCCCACCCCCAUACUCUCCAUAAAACCAAAUGACUUUCUUGUGCUCUCAUGUCUUUGCCUCUGACUGUCCAUCUUCCAGUUCUGCUCUUAAGCUGACAACUGCAUUUUGUCAAACUGAGAUAAAGUCCUCUCUCUCUGCACAUGCUCUCUUUGCCAUCAUACCCUGUGCCUAACUACAUUAUGCCACUGACAUACCAAGUUGACACAAAAGUCCUACACUGACUGGAGCCUGUUGAUCUUGCUCAGACCCAUACUUAAAUGUGUGCCCUGCACAUAGUAAGUGCUUGAUAAGUCAAUGUCAAAUGCAUGGAGAAUCGAAUAAAUGAAUGAACACAUUAAAUCAUA
Molecule: long non-coding RNA, 2540 nt
Organism: Neofelis nebulosa (Clouded leopard)
Lineage: Eukaryota; Metazoa; Chordata; Mammalia; Carnivora; Felidae
Exons: 13
Source: RefSeq, a predicted model, not a curated record